RNAcentral lists this long non-coding RNA (1334 nucleotides) under Triticum aestivum (bread wheat). Its description in RNAcentral is "long non-coding RNA (TAES_LNC008897)". The record is from RNAcentral. Lineage: Eukaryota; Viridiplantae; Streptophyta; Magnoliopsida; Poales; Poaceae.
UAAGGAAUGAAGGAAACAUGACUACACAUGUCCAGUCACUCGUUCCACAUAGUAAGUUUUUUUUUAAACGUGGGCUCGAGAAGAGCCCGGCUUUGAAUUAACAAAGCCAUCACCCGACCAGGAAUUACAACCACAUACAAACCUCAUCGGCAUAACGAUACAUAGGAACUCUCUUGGAAGCUUACAACUCAACGGAGCGACCAAGCUCGGAAAAAUGUAGAAAAGAAAAGAUCAUUGUUUGCCCUAACCGAAGACUACAAGCAAACAAACAUCUAGGAAAGCAGCAAGCAUGAGAACGACAAGGUCCUGCGAAAACAGUGUAACUAUGAACCCGGCUAAACCCCAGGGUGAAGAACUCCAGGCAACCUCCUCUCUCGCCACAGAGGGACCCUUCCCUCUCGCCCUUGCAUCGCACGCCAGCCCGUCGAACCUGAGAGGCGCUCACCCUAGAGCAGGAGAGGUGCCAGCUUCAAAACCUGGAGUGGCCACAACACACAUCCAUCUUGAACAAUUGAGCACUUCGUGUCUGACGCACCGCCACUUCCUAGGACACCUGAAAGCUACAGGAAAGCCACCGGGCGCAGCUACCGAAGAAAUGGCAACAAGGACAUCAAGUAGAACCAGUAGGUCGCCGAGGAACAUUGCAGGCUGCCGUAGAAGAGGAGAACCAAGGUUUCGCAGCCUGAGGGUGUUGGUACUGCCGGAAGGGGAACCCUAUCCCCUACCAUUGGAUCGAGGCGCCGCAUCGCGGGAAGUGGCCAAACAUGUCGCCGCCAGAGAACACCACUCAUGAGGGAUACGGCGACGCCUUCAGCCAUGCGAAAACCCACCGACACCGCCGUCACCGAACUACCUGAGCCACCCAAAGCUCCAACCUUUGCCGCCCUCACCUGAGCGCAGCCCUCCCCGGGAGGCGCCUCCAAGGUGGAUACGACGCGCAGUGCGCUGUCGCUGCCCAAUCCGAACCAGAUUUGGGGCUUUCACCAAGGAGGAGGAACAGGGGUGGAGAGGGCAAGAGUCUCGGCUACACCUCCAAGGAUGAAGCACGACGUCAUGGAUGUCGCUGCCGCCGGGCCGAACGGGCCGACCAACUGUUUCCCGUGGCCCCAAACCACACCACCGGCCGCCCACCAGCACAAGAUCUAGGACCCGAAGGGCUCGGUCAGGUGGACGCGCGCGCGGGGGGUGGGGAGAUAGGGGCGAAGGGAAGCGGGCCAAACCUCAGAUCUGAUGAGAAGGAACAACUCCGCACCGCCGCCACCACCCGCAUGGUCGAGCCCGUCAACCAGAGACACCUGCGGACGCCAGCCGAGAUGGUGCCGCCGCCUCGUCGG